CGCUGGCGGCGUGCUUAACACAUGCAAGUCGAACGAGGAAUGCCGAAAAGCUUGCUUUUGACAUUCGAGUGGCGGACGGGUGAGUAACGCGUGAGGAACCUGUCUUCUACAGGGGGAUAACGUCCCGAAAGGGAAGCUAAUACCGCAUAAGACCACAGUGCCGCAUGGCACAGGGGUCAAAGGAGGAAUCCGGUAGAAGGUGGCCUCGCGUCCCAUUAGGCAGUUGGCGGGGUAACGGCCCACCAAACCUGCGAUGGGUAGCCGACCUGAGAGGGUGAUCGGCCACAUUGGAACUGAGACACGGUCCAAACUCCUACGGGAGGCAGCAGUGGGGAAUAUUGGGCAAUGGGCGCCAAGCCUGACCCAGCAACGCCGCGUGAGGGAAGAAGGUUUUCGGAUUGUAAACCUCUGUCCCGGGAGACGAGAGCGAGACGGUAUCCCGGGAGGAAGCCCCGGCUAACUACGUGCCAGCCGCUGC
Molecule: ribosomal RNA, 478 nt
Filed under: uncultured bacterium
Lineage: Bacteria
Description: bacterial SSU rRNA
Rfam family: Bacterial small subunit ribosomal RNA
Source: RNAcentral